CAAACGUGCUGCUAUUAUAAAUUAUCUUCGAUAUUGGGCUCCAUAGAAGAAAAUAAAGAAGGUGGCCUGUACCCUUACCGAGCUAGUAAAGCUGCCUUAAAUGCCAUUACCAAAUCCCAGUGUAUUGAUCUCAGGAAUUUCAAUAUAUUAGUAACUUGCCUUCACCCUGGGUGGGUUCAGACAGAUAUGGGAGGCAAGUCUGCUCCUCUCACACCAGUAGAAAGUGUAUCAGGAAUCAUAAAUACUCUACACAACUUGAAUGAAGAACAUCAUGGAGGAUUUUACCAGUAUGAUGGGCAAAAAUUACUUGGUAAUUCUCUUUUUUUUUAAUAUACCACCACCUUGGUAAUUCACAGUGGUGUUUUACUUUUGUGUAAAUACUAUUUACAAUAAAUAUACCAGUCUAAA
Cherax quadricarinatus is the source of this 408-nucleotide non-coding RNA. NCBI's taxonomy places the organism in Eukaryota, Metazoa, Arthropoda, Malacostraca, Decapoda, Parastacidae. The record is from RefSeq and is a predicted model, not a curated record.